Molecule: ribosomal RNA, 447 nt
Filed under: uncultured bacterium
Lineage: Bacteria
Description: bacterial SSU rRNA
Rfam family: Bacterial small subunit ribosomal RNA
Source: RNAcentral
UCGGGAAUUUUGGGCAAUGGGGGAGACCCUGACCCAGCAACGCCGCGUGAAGGAUGAAGUAUUUCGGUAUGUAAACUUCGAAAGAAUAGGAAGAAUAAAUGACGGUACUAUUUAUAAGGUCCGGCUAACUACGUGCCAGCAGCCGCGGUAAUACGUAGGGACCAAGCGUUGUUCGGAUUUACUGGGCGUAAAGGGCGCGUAGGCGGCAUGACAAGUCACUUGUGAAAUCUCUGGGCUUAACCCAGAACGGCCAAGUGAUACUGUCGCGCUAGAGUGCAGAAGGGGCAAUCGGAAUUCUUGGUGUAGCGGUGAAAUGCGUAGAUAUCAAGAGGAACACCUGAGGUGAAGACGGGUUGCUGGGCUGACACUGACGCUGAGGCGCGAAAGCCAGGGGAGCAAACGGGAUUAGAUACCCCUGUAGUCCCUGAGCGGGCUGGCAAGGCGCAU